AAAAAGCCUCCUGGCUUUUAAUUUUUGUGAAUUUUUGUCUUAAAUGUGAGCAUUUGCGUGAAAAAUUUUGGUUUUUAAAUAAUAUUUUUUUUUUUAAGCUGCAAUAAGUACAUUUAUUAUUUUAACAAUUUGAGAAAUAGCAAAAAAUUUAAAAAGCGUGAACAAAAUUUGUGCCAGCAGUUGCGGUUACACAGAUUAUGCGACAGAAAUUUAUUUAGUUAGGUUAAGAUUUUUUUUAAAAACAAAAAAAAAUUUUUUAAGUGAAAUUUUAAAAUUUUUUUAAUUUUUUUAUUUUUGAGGCCGAGAAAUUUUUUUUAAGACUAGGAUUAGAUACCCUAUUAUAGAAACGUAUUUGUUGAGAAGCUUUUAUUAGUAUUAGUUAAGUUCUUGAAAAUAAAGGGAAUUGGCGGUGUUUUAGUCUAUUCAGAGGAGCCUGUCCUGUAAUUGAUAAUCCACGUUUAGGAGGUCUUAUUUUUUAAGUUUAUAUAUCGCCGUGUUUUUGAAUAUCUUCAUAGGGCUAAAUUUUCAUAUUUUGGAUAAAAGAGAAAGCAGGUCAAGAUGUAGCUUAUAGGUAAGUAGUGAUGGGCUACAGUUAAAAUAUUAUUGGAUUAUUUGUUUGAAAAAUUUAUGAAAUUGGAUUUGAUGGUAAUUUUAUUUUUAUUUUUAAGAUGAUUUAAGCUCUAGAACAUGCACAUAUCGCCCGUCGCUUUCUCUAUAAAGAGGAAUAAGUCGUAACAAAGUAGAUGUACUGGAAAGUGUAUCUAGAAGCCA
RNAcentral lists this non-coding RNA (771 nucleotides) under Scolytinae sp. BMNH 1039990. Lineage: Eukaryota; Metazoa; Arthropoda; Insecta; Coleoptera; Curculionidae. The record is from RNAcentral.